CUAAUGCUUGAGAGAUAUCCGAAAAUAAAAAAAAAUUCUGUUUUCGUGGUGAUGUCAGAUUAAGCCACCCACUCAAGAUAAAGAAGCUAAAACUGACUUUAUAUUACUUCAGAAGUUUAGUUGCUGUUUGAUUGUUGAUCUGUCACUAUCGUGUCCGCUAUUGUGAAUAACGUAUCGUCAUUAACAUGUUUAUCAACCCAAUGAUCGUAAUAAGACUGUUGCUUCUUACAUUUGAAGUAAUAAACAUUCCUGACAGUGCUGUUAUCAAUAAUAAAAUGGAAUUGAAAGAAAGUUUCGAGAGAAUUCUGAAGGCUCCUGUGGCAGAGUUCAAUCAGUUAGAAAUCGUGGAAGAUACGACAUUAGCUUUUCAAGAACUUUUUAAAGAUGUCAUAGUAGAAUCUGUCGAAGAUCAUGACAUUGAAUGGGGUCUUGGAGAAUCUCCAUUAAAGCCCGGAAACGUGUACUGAUGAUGAAGAAGAUUUGAGCUAUGAGUACAAACAAAAAGCGGUAGAAUUUUGGAGAAGUGCAAAAACGAAACGAAAUAGGAAAAUAGAAACAGUACAAAAGAGUUUCAAACUUGUCAAGUCGGUGCUCCAGUUGAGACGCUGAGCUCACCAGUUGAAUAAAGGCGGUACUUUCAAGGAGAAAUUGUCGCCUAUUUCUGAAUACACAAUUAAUAAUUUCAAAAGCGCGAUAGACGCAGGACUCAUUGUGCAUCGAUUUGUGAAGGUGAGCGUUACAGGCUUAACAAUUGAUCGGAUAGUUAUACCAUACAGCUAACAAUUCCCGCGGAAGGGAAAGUGCUGUUACCACUUCUUAUAAUUUUGAAAGACCUUUCUGGACGGUUGGCACCGAUCGUAGAGCAAACUAUUUUUCAACCUUCCAAUGUCUUCAUAAGUGUUUCGAAAUCUACCAAGGCAACACCAGAAAAUUUUAAAACAUGCCUUCAAGAAGUGUUUUUCCCAAACAUCGAUAAGAAAAGUGUCCUUUUGAUUGACUCUUGGAGCGAACAUUGCCCCAGAAUUGUCGACGAAGCUACACCGCAUAAUAAAGAGAUUGUUACAAUGAUUAUACCAAAAGGGACGACGGGGAACAUUCAGCCUCUUUUUGUUUUCGGAUUUAAAAUUUGGAAAAUUUAUGUGAGAUAUUUUCCCGACAGUGUCAUGUUACUUGAUUAUAAUUUAAAUCUACAUUAACUUGCUACAUUUACUUAUUACUAUUAAUUAUUAAUUGUAUAUUUAGAAAUAGGCGACAAUUUCUCCUUGUAAGUACCGCCUUUAUUCAACUGGUGAGCCCAGUGUCUUAACUGCAGCACCGACUUGACAAGUUUGAAACUCUUUUGUACUGUUUCUAUUUUCCUAUUUCGUUUCGUUUUUGCACUUCUCCAACAUUCUACCGCUUUUUGUUUGUACUCAUAGCUCAAAUCUUCUUCAUCAUCAGUACACGUUUCCGGGCUUUAAUGGAGAUUCUCCAAGACCCCAUUCGAUGUCAUGAUCUUCGACAGGUUCUACUAUGACAUCUUUAAAAAGUUCUUGAAAAUCUAAUGUCGUAUCUUCCACGAUUUCUAACUGAUUGAACUCUGCCACAGGAGCCUUCAGAAUUCUCUCGAAACUUUCUUUCAAUUCCAUUUUAUUAUUGAUAACAGCACUGUCAGGAAUGUUUAUUACUUCAAAUGUAAGAAACAACAGUCUUAUUACGUUCAUUGGGUUGAUAAACAUGUUAAUGACGAUACGUUAUUCACAAUAGCGGACACGAUAGUAACAGAUCAACAAUCAAACAGCAACUAAACUUCUGGAGUAAUAUAAAGUCAGUUUUAGCUUCUUUAUCUUGAGUGGGUGGCUUAAUCUGACAUCACCACGAAAACAGAAUUUUUUUUUAUUUUCGGAUAUCUCUCAAGCAUUAGCCUGAGCGAGCUGGCUUUUUUAAGAACACUGGGCUACGAGCCGCUAUAGCGGUUCUUGAUAUGAAUAAGAAUAUGGCAAGGCUUGAGUCAGCUUGUUUACAUUCUGGGCGGUGGAUUGUCGAUGCGACGCUUGAUAUUUGAGUUUUAUUUUAUUUUCGUAAAGCAUUCAAAAUAGAAACUUAUAUAAAUAAAAACGGAAACUAACACUUCUGUACAUACGUAAAGCAUAUCAAAGUAUUCGAUUCUCUAUAUGAUUAUGAUGGCAGCGGAUGAACAUGUGAAAUAAAUAUCAUUCAGCAUAUAAGUCGAUACGCAAUGAUAAUAGAACCAUUUGAAUUGAAUGUAAACAUUUCGAUUGUUGUGUCCGCGAAGAUCGUCGCGAAGGGACGAGUUAUCAAGGACGAUCGGCACAAAGUGAAAUUCAAGAUUUUACGACUCUUUUACCUAUAUGAUUCUCUAUAUGAUUAUGAUGGCAGCCGAUGAAAAUGUGAAAUAAAUAUCAUUUAGCAUAUAAGUCGAUACGCAAUGAUAAUGGAACCAAUCAGUCUCGUCACAUAAAUUCGAGACUGACUGGAAGUAUUCAGGUCUCAUCAUUGCAAUUAUUAUCUCAUAAAAACAGUAUUGUUAUUAAUCCCAUCAAUUAAUUUAUCGUUAAAUUUAGCAAACUUAAGAUAAUGAAACUUGUUAAGCUGAAUCUGGAUCACAAGCAAUCAAUUUGUUGUUCAUUAAUAAAGUGAAAAUUCUCUAGAAACA
RNAcentral lists this long non-coding RNA (2656 nucleotides) under Venturia canescens. RNAcentral's name for it is "uncharacterized LOC122414825". The record is from RNAcentral. Lineage: Eukaryota; Metazoa; Arthropoda; Insecta; Hymenoptera; Ichneumonidae.